AGCGAACGCUGGCGGCAGGCCUAACACAUGCAAGUCGAACGGAUCCUUCGGGAUUAGUGGCGGACGGGUGAGUAACACGUGGGAACGUGCCCUUUGGUUCGGAACAACUAAGGGAAACUUGAGCUAAUACCGGAUGUGCCCUUCGGGGGAAAGAUUUAUCGCCAUUGGAGCGGCCCGCGUCUGAUUAGCUAGUUGGUGAGGUAAAGGCUCACCAAGGCGACGAUCAGUAGCUGGUCUGAGAGGAUGAUCAGCCACAUUGGGACUGAGACACGGCCCAAACUCCUACGGGAGGCAGCAGUGGGGAAUCUUGCGCAAUGGGCGAAGCCUGACGCAGCCAUGCCGCGUGAAUGAUGAAGGUCUUAGGAUUGUAAAAUUCUUUCACCGGGGACGAUAAUGACGGUACCCGGAGAAGAAGCCCCGGCUAACUUCGUGCCAGCAGCCGCCGUAA
Molecule: ribosomal RNA, 448 nt
Filed under: uncultured bacterium
Lineage: Bacteria
Description: partial 16S ribosomal RNA
Rfam family: Bacterial small subunit ribosomal RNA
Source: RNAcentral